This 203-nucleotide ribosomal RNA is filed under the name uncultured bacterium. RNAcentral's name for it is "partial 16S ribosomal RNA". It matches the Rfam family "Bacterial small subunit ribosomal RNA", at positions 1300 to 1500 of the family's 1533-position model. The record is from RNAcentral.
GUUCUCUGCAACUCGAGAACAUGAAGUUGGAAUCGCUAGUAAUCGCGGAUCAGCAUGCCGCGGUGAAUACGUUCCCGGGUCUUGUACACACCGCCCGUCACGCCAUGGGAGUUGGUUCUGCCUGACGGCGUUGAGGUAACCCGCAAGGGAGCCUGGCGACCACGGUAGGGUCAGCGACUGGGGCGAAGUCGUAACAAGGUAUC